This is a long non-coding RNA of Hirundo rustica (Barn swallow), 667 nucleotides long. RefSeq lists it as uncharacterized. The transcript has 3 exons. The record is from RefSeq and is a predicted model, not a curated record. Lineage: Eukaryota; Metazoa; Chordata; Aves; Passeriformes; Hirundinidae.
CCUCCCUUCAGCGGGAUGUCGCUCCGGACAUCAGGCUGGCGACAGGGGCGGACGCAGCGGGUGCCCUCCGUCCUUCUCUUACUGAUGCUCUUGACCUGAGUUCCUUGGGUGCUCCUCUGCAAUUUACCAAGGCACAAAAUUUGCAAAAUUAUCUUCUGCCUCCAAUCCCAGCCUUCUCCCAUCCAUGGGAUGCUCCCUCCAGUUCUGUCUGGGAGUCACCACAUAAAUCAAGCUGAUAUCAAGGGAUGCUGCAUGUGGAAUUCACUCAUCCGAAGCCGGGCUCUCCUUGGCCCCUCUGCCUGGGAGCUUUGCGAAGGGUGAGAUUUUGUGCGCUGUUGAACAUCACAGAUUUUCUUCUGAGGAGGAUCAAAUGCUUGUAUCGUUUUUACCAGAAAAAUGCUAUCCACGGCAGACUUCCAGUGGUGAUUGAAACUGUGAAUUCUCAUGCAAACAGAUUCCUUUGCAUACAGUCAUCUGGGAGCCGGGCCUUUGAUUUUCAUUUAUUAUUCUCCCUGGCAGCAUGUUCAGUCAGUAUGCAGAUUUCCUCCUUCAUUCAAUUUUCAGUGGGCAAGAAGACUACAAUUAGUCAUAUUAUCAUCAGCGUGAAUAAAAGGGAAACACUGAACUGGAUCCUUAUGAGCCUGCAGUUGCAGUGGGAUCGUGCAGA